AAUAUGUACCACAUCUUCUUUAUCCACUCAUCUGUUGAUGGAUAUUUAGGUUGAUUCCAUGUUUUAGCUAGUGUAUAUAGUGCUGCAAUGAACAUUGGAGUGUAUGUAUCUUUUCAAGUCAUGGUUUUAUAUGGAUUAUGGUAACUCUAUUUUUAGUUUUCUGAGGAAUAUUCAUCCUGUUUUCCACAGUUAUUGCAUCAAUUUACAUUCCCACUAACAGUGUAAGAGGGUUCCCUUUUCCCAACUAUCUCUCCAGCAUUUAUUUUUUGUAGGCUUUUUAAUGAUGGCCAUUCUGUUGGUGUAAUGCAUCAUAGUAGUUUUGAUGCAUUUCACUAAUAAUUAAUGAUGUUGAGCAUAUUUUCAUGAAUUUUUGGCCAUCUGUAUGUCUUCGUUGGAGAAGUGUCUGCUUAGAUCUUCUGCAAAUUUUUUGAUGGGGCCGUUUGUUUUCUGGUAUUGAGCUGCAGGAGGUGUUUAUAUAAUUUGGAACUUAAUCCCUUGUCAGUCUCUUUAUUUGAAAUAUUUUCUCCCAUGCUGGAUGUUGUCUUUUCAUUUUGUUUAGGGUUUCCAUUGCUGUACAAAAGAUUUUACGUUUAAUUAGGUCCCAUUUGAUUAUUUUUAUUUUUAUUGUCAUUAUUCUAGGAGGUGGAUCUGAUAAGAUAUUGCUGUGAUUUAUGUCAGAGAUUGUUCAGCCUAUGUUUUCCUCUGAGUAUUUUUAGUAUCCUUUCUUAUAUUUAGGUCUUUAACACAUUUUGAGUACAUUUUUGUGUACAGCGUUAGUGAGUGUUCUAAUUUAAUUAUUUACAUGUAGCUGUCCAUUUUCCCCAGCACCACUUACUGAAGGGACUGUCUUUUCUCCAUUGUUCUUGCAUCCUUUGAAGUAGAUUAGUUGACUCUAGGUGUAUGGGUUUAAUUUUGGGCUUUAUAUCAUGUUCCACUGAUAUAUAUUUCUGUUUAUGUGCCAGAAUCAUUAUGUUUUGAUGACUGUAGCAUUGCAGUAUAGUCUGAAGUCAUGAAGCCUGAUUCCUCCAGUUCCAUUUAUUUUCUCAGCAUUUCUUUGGCUACUCUGGGUCCUUUGGCCUUCCAAACAAACUUUAGAUGAUUGUGUUCUAUGGGGGAUUCUGAAAAUGGGAGAGUAGCAGGAUAUGAGGCUCACCUACUCCCACAAAUAUAUUGAAAAUACAACUACAUGUGGAAAUAUUCACACAGAGAGUUUGCAAGGAACUGACAAAAGACUUCAGGAUUAUAUAGAGCAAGACAAAUUUUACAAAACCAGAUAGCACAUGAGAAAGUAAAAAGGGAGUUCCUGUCACGGUGCAGUGGAAAUUAAUCCAACUAGGAAUCAUGAUUUUGCAGGUUGGAUCCCUGGCCCCACUCAGUGGGUUAAGGAUCCAGCAUUGCCAUGAGCUGUGGUGUAGGUUGCAGACGUGGCUUGGAUCUGGCAUUUCUGUGGCAUAGAAUAGACUGGCAGAAACAGCUCUGAUUAGACUCAUAGCCUGGGAAAUUCCAUAUGCUGCAGGUGUGGCCCAAAACAGACAAAAGACAAAAAAAAGUGAAAAGAAGAACAAGAGAAAAAGAAGCAAAAGGAAGUGGGAUGGGACCUGCUCCCCAGGAGGGAGCUGGAAAGAGAAAUAGUUCCUGCACCCCAGAAAGUUCCACCACCAGCAAGCAGAUCCACCAAAAAAUGGAGGAGGAACUCUAGACAAACAGUGUGAAGCAAUAAAAAGGUGACAGUCUUCCACAAAUAGUCACUGCUAUUGGCAAUGCACAAGCAUAGGCUGGUGCUACCAGGUGUUGGGAAUUUAAAAUCUGGCCUAAGAGAUAAAACCCAAACAGGGAGCUGAGGCUGGCUACAUGGGAAAAAAUAAACAGGGAUUGUCUUGAGGAAGCAGCCUGGAAGCACUAAAGUAUUUUUUUAAUUAAUUGAUUUAUUUUUCCACUGUACAGCAUGGAGCCCAAAAUACACUUACAUGUAUACAUUUUUUUCCACCCUUCAUUCUGUUACACUAUAAGUAUCUAGACAUAGUUCUCAAUGCUAUUCAGCAGGAUCCCAUUGUAAAUCCAUUCCAAGUUGUAUCUGAUAACCCCAAGCUCCCAAUCACUCCCACUCCAUCCCUCUCCCCCCCGGGGGCGGCCAGGUCCAUGAUUUUCUUUUCUUUGGAAAUGUUCAAUUGCGCUGUAUAUUAGAUUCCAGUUAUAAGUGAAAUCUUAUGGUGUUUGUCUUUGUCUUUAUGACUCAUUUAACUAACUAUGAGAAUCUCUAGUUCCACCCAUGUUGCUAUAAAUGGUAUUAUGUUGUUCUGUUUUAUGGCUGACUAGUAUUCCAUUGUGUAUACAUAUCACGUCUUCUGAAUCCAAUCAUCUGUCGAUGGACAUUUAGGUUGUUUCCAUGUCUUGGCUGUUGUGAAUAGCGCUGCAAUGAACAUGAGGGUGCAUGUGUCUCUUUUAGGUAGAGUUUGUCCGGAUAUAUACCCAAGAGUGGGAUUUCGGGGAGAUAUGGAAGUUUUAUGUAUAGAUUUCUAAGAUAUCUCCAAACUGUUCUCCAUAGUGGCUGUACCAGGUUACAUUCCCACCAGCAGUGCAGGAGGGUUCCCUUUUCUCCACACCCCCUCCAGCACUUCCUAUUUGUGGACUUAUGAAAGAUGGCUAUUCUGACUGUUGUGAGGUGGUAUGUCAUGGUAGUUUUGAUUUGCAUUUCUCUUAUAAUCAGCGAUGUUGAACAUUUUUUCAUGGGCUUGUUGGCCAUCUGUAUAUCUUCUUUGGAGAAAUGUCUAAUCAGGUCUUUCACCCAUUUUUCCAUUGGUUGAUUGGCUUUUUUGCUGUUGAGUUGUAUAAGCUGCUAGUAUAUUAUAGAUUAAGCCCUUGUCGGUUGCAUCAUUUGAAACUGUUUUCUCCCAUUCUGAAAGUUGUCUCUUUGUUUUCUUUUUGGUUUCCUUUGCUGUGCAAAAGCUUUUCAGUUUGAUGAGGUCCCAUGGGAUUAUUUUUGCUCUAAUUUCUAUUGCUUUGGGAGACUGACCUGAGAAAAUAUUUAUGAAGUUGAUUUCAGAGAGUGUUUUGCCUAUGUUUUCUUCUAGGAGUUUGAUGGUAUCUUAUAUUUAUAUUUAAGUCUUUCAGCAUUUUGAGUUUAUUUUUGUGCAUGGUGUGAGGGUGUGUUCGAAUUUCAUUGCUUUGCAUGCAGCUGUCCAGGUUUCCCAGCAAUGCUUGCUGAAUAGACUUUCUUUUUCCCAUUUGAUGUUCUUGCCUCCCUUGUCAAAGCUUAAUUGACCAUAUGUGUCAGGGUUUAUUUCUGGGUUCGCUCUUCUGUUCCAUUGGUCUGUCUGUCUGUUUUGAUACCAGUACCACACUGUUUUGAUGACUGUGGCUUUGUAGUAUUUCUUGAAGUCUGGGAGAGUAAUGCCCCCUUCUUGGUUUUUGUUUCUCUGGAUUGCUUUGGCAAUUCUGGGUCUUUUGUUGUUCCAUAUAAAUGUUUGGAUUGUUUGUUCUAGUUCUGUGAAAAAUGUUGUGGGUAAUUGAUAAGGGAUUGCAUUGACUCUGUAGAUUGCUUUGGGUAGCAUGGCCAUUUUUAAAAUAUUGAUUUUUCCAACCCAGGAGCAUGGCAUAUCUUUCCAUUUCUUUACAUCUUCUUUGAUUUCUUUGAUUAAAGUUUUAUAGUUCUCAGCAUAUAAGUCCUUUACCUCUUUGGUCAGGUGUAUUCCGAGGUAUUUGAUUUUGUGACAUGCAAUUUUAAAAGGUAUUGUAUUUUUGUAUUCCUUUUCUAAUAUUUCAUUGUUAGUAUACAGAAAUGUGACUGAUUUCUGAAUGUUAUUCUUAUAUCCUGCUACUUUGCUGAAUUUAUUAAUCAGUUCAAGUAGUUUUGGUGUUGAGUCCUUAGGGUUUUCUGUGUAUAGUAUCAUGUUGUCUGCAUACAGUGACAGUUUUAUCUCUUCUCUUCCUAUUUUGAUGACUUUCAUUUUUUUAUUUGCGUAAUCACUGUGGCUAGGACUUCCAAAACUAAGUUGAACAGCAGUGGUGAGAGUGGGCAUCCCUGUCUUCUUCCAGAUUUCAGUGAGAAGGCUUUCAGUUUUUCUCCAUUGAGUAUUAUAUUUGCUGGGGGUUUGUCAUAAAUGGCUUUGAUUAUGUUCAGGAAUGUUCCCUCUAAACCCACUUUGGCGAGGGUCUUGAUCAUGAAUGGAUGUUGGACUUUGUCAAAUGCAUUUUCUGCGUCUAUUGCGAUGAUCAUGUGGGUUUUGACUUUUCUGUUGUUAAUGUGGUGUAUGACAUUGAUUGAUUUGCAUAUGUUGAACCAUCCUUGUGAACCUGGGAUGAACCCUACCUGGUCAUGGUGUAUAAUUUGUUUGGUAUGUUGUUGGAUUCGGUUGGCUAAGAUUUUUUGAGAAUUUUUGCAUCUAUAUUCAUCAAAGAUACUGGCGAAUAGUUUUCUUUUUUGGUGGUGUCUUUGUUUUGGAAUGAGGGUGAUGGUGGCAUCAUAGAAUGUCUUUGGGAGUGUUCCUUCUUCUUCAACCUUCUGAAAAAGUUUAAGGAGGAUGAGCACCAGAUCCUCUUUGUAUGUUUGGUAGAAUUCGCCUCUGCAGCCAUCUGGUCCUGGACUUUUCUUUGUAGGGAGUGUUUUUAUGACUUCUUCGAUUUCAUUUCUAGUGAUCGGUCUGUUCAGUUGGUCUGUUUCUUCUUGAUUCAGUUUUGGCAGGCUGUAAGAUUCUAGAAAAUUGUCCAUUUCUUCCAGAUUGUCAAAUUUGUUGGCAUAUAGUUGUUCAUAGUAUUCUCUUAUGUUUUUUUUUUUUUUUUGUAUUUCUGCAGUAUCUGUUGUGAGUUCUCCUUUUUCAUUUAUAAUUUUGGUUAUUUGGGUUCUUUCUCUCCUCUUCUUAGUGAGUCUAGCUGGGGUUUGUCAAUUUUGACCAGCUUUUGGUUUAUUAAUUUCCUCUAUUGUUUAUUGAAUCUCUAUUUUAUUGAUUUCCUCUUUGAUCUUUAUAAUUUCCUUCAUUCUGCUGACUUUAGGUCUUUUUUUCCUUCUGUUUCUACUUCGUUUAGGUGAAAGGUUAAGUUGUCAAUUUAAGAUUUUUCUUAUUUUUUGAGAAAGGCCUGCACCGCUAUGAUUUUCCCUCUGACCACUGCUAUUGUGGCAUCCCAUAGAUUUUGAGAGGUUGUGUCUUCAUUAUCAUUUGUUUCAAGGUAGUUUUUAAUUUCCUUCUUGAUUUCCUCAUUGACCCAUUGGCUUUUUAGUAGCAUGUUGUUUAGUAUCCAUGUAGUAGGUUUGUUCUCAUUUCUUUUCCUGUGGUUGACUUCUACUUUCAUGCCAUUGUGGUCAGAAAAGUUACUUGAAAUAACUUCUCUGCUUCUAAAUCAGUUGAGGUUAGCUUUGUGUCCCAACAUGUGGUUAAUUCUUGAGAAUAUUCUAUGUGCACUUGAGAAUAAUGUUUAUUCUGAUUUUUUUGGAUGUAGUGUCCUUAAGAUGGCAGUUAAGUCUAACUUUUCUAUUGUUUCCUUUAGGAUCUCUGUUGCUUUAUUGGUUUUCUGUCUAGAGGAUCUGUCCAUUGAUAUGAGCAGAGUAUUAAAGUCUCCUAAUGAUUGUAUUCCCAUUAAUCUCUCCCUUUAUGUGUGUUAAUAUUUGUUGUAUGUAUCUGGAUGCUCCUGUAUUUGGGGCAUAUAUGUUGACAAUAGUAAUAUCCUCUUCUUGGAUGGAUCCCUUAAUCAUUAAAUAGUGUCCUUCUUUGUCUUUCUUUAUGUCUUUUGUUUUAAAGUCUAUUUUGUCUGAUAUGAGUAUUGCAACUCCUGCUUUCCUGUCAUGUCUAUUGGCAUGAAAUAUUUUUCCCACCCCUUCACUUUCAACCUAUAUGUGUCCUUUGUCCUAAGGUGGGUUUCUUGUAGGCAGCAUAUUUAAGGUUUUUCCUUUUUUAUCCACUCAGCGACUCUGUGUCUUUUGAUUGGAACAUUCAGUCCAUUGACUUUUAAGGUGAUAAUUGAUACAUGAUUAUUUAGUGCCAUUUUAAACCUCCUUUUCCAGUUGAUUCUAUGAUUCUCCAUUCUUCCUUUCUUUUUUUGGAUGGAUGGUCUCCAAUUAUUUUCUGCUUGAGUUGUUUUCUUUUCAUUUUUUGCAAAUGGAAUGUUUGGUUUUGAUUUGUGGUUGUCCUGUUUUUAACGAAUUCUAACCACUUCCUAUAAUCAUGUGUUUUAUCCUGAUGUUCCUGUAGUUUCAAACACUUCAUUACUAUACUAAAAUUAAGAAGAGAAACAG
Molecule: long non-coding RNA, 6226 nt
Filed under: Sus scrofa (pig)
Lineage: Eukaryota; Metazoa; Chordata; Mammalia; Artiodactyla; Suidae
Description: lncRNA (ENSSSCG00000063485.1)
Source: RNAcentral